RNAcentral lists this ribosomal RNA (497 nucleotides) under uncultured bacterium. RNAcentral describes it as "partial 16S ribosomal RNA". It matches the Rfam family "Bacterial small subunit ribosomal RNA", at positions 28 to 507 of the family's 1533-position model. The record is from RNAcentral.
GAUGAACGCUGGCGGCGUGCCUAAUACAUGCAAGUCGAACGAACAGGCGAGGAGCUUGCUCCUUUCACGUUAGCCGCAGACGGGAGAGUCACAUGAGUAUACCCUACCUAUAAUUCUGGGAUAAUUACGGGAAACGGGAGCUAAUACCGGAUAAUAUCCUGAACCGCAUGGGGCGAUAGUGAAAGACGGUUUUGCUGUCACUUAUAGAUGGUUCCGCGCCGGUUUGGCUGGUUGGUAGGGUAACGGCUUUCCACGGCAACGAUGCGUAGCCGAGCUGAGAGGGUGAUAGGCCACCUGGGAGGGGAGACGCGGUCCAGACGCCUACGGGAGGCAGCAGUAGGGAACCGGCCGCAAUGGUCGAAAGCUUGACGGAGCAGGGCGGCGCGAGUGAUGAAGGUGCUCGGAGCGUAAUACUCUCUUACUAGUGAAGAACAAAUGUCGAAGGAAAUAUGGACGGCUUGACGGUACCUAGUCAGAAAGCCACGGCUAACUACGUG